Molecule: ribosomal RNA, 460 nt
Filed under: uncultured bacterium
Lineage: Bacteria
Description: partial 16S ribosomal RNA
Rfam family: Bacterial small subunit ribosomal RNA
Source: RNAcentral
CCUACGGGUGGCAGCAGUGAGGAAUAUUGGUCAAUGGACGAGAGUCUGAACCAGCCAAGCAGCGUGAAGGAUGACUGCCCUAUGGGUUGUAAACUUCUUUUAUAUGGGAAUAAAACGUUCCACGUGAGGGAUCAUGUAUGUACCAUAUGAAUAAGGAUCGGCUAACUCCGCGCCAGCAGCCGCGGUAAUACGGAGGAUCCGAGCGUUAGCCGGAUUUAUUGGGUUUAAAGGGAGCGUAGGUGGAUUGGUAAGUCAGUUGUGAAAGUUUGCGGCUCAACCGUAAAAUUGCAGUUGAAACUGGCAGACUUGAGUGCAGUAGAGGUGAGCGGAAUUCGUGGUGUAGCGGUGAAAUGCUUAGAUAUCACGAAGAACUCCGAUUGCGAAGGCAGUUCACUGGACUGUAACUGACGCUGAGGCUCGAAAGUGUGGGGAUCAAACAGGAUUAGAUACCCUAGUAGUC